This 460-nucleotide ribosomal RNA is filed under the name uncultured bacterium. Its description in RNAcentral is "partial 16S ribosomal RNA". It matches the Rfam family "Bacterial small subunit ribosomal RNA", at positions 338 to 795 of the family's 1533-position model. The record is from RNAcentral.
CCUACGGGAGGCAGCAGUGAGGAAUAUUGGUCAAUGGACGAGAGUCUGAACCAGCCAAGUAGCGUGAAGGAUGACUGCCCUAUGGGUUGUAAACUUCUUUUAUAUGGGAAUAAAAUGUUCCACGUGUGGGCUUUUGUAUGUACCAUAUGAAUAAGGAUCGGCUAACUCCGUGCCAGCAGCCGCGGUAAUACGGAGGAUCCGAGCGUUAUCCGGAUUUAUUGGGUUUAAAGGGAGCGUAGGUGGAUUGUUAAGUCAGUUGUGAAAGUUUGCGGCUCAACCGUAAAAUUGCAGUUGAAACUGGCAGUCUUGAGUACAGUAGAGGUGGGCGGAAUGCGUGGUGUAGCGGUGAAAUGCUGAGAUAUCACGAAGAACUCCGAUUGCGAAGGCAGCUCACUGGACUGCAACUGACACUGAGGCUCGAAAGUGUGGGUAUCAAACAGGAUUAGAUACCCUAGUAGUC